This 399-nucleotide ribosomal RNA is filed under the name Lebinthus luae. RNAcentral's name for it is "partial 12S ribosomal RNA". The record is from RNAcentral. Lineage: Eukaryota; Metazoa; Arthropoda; Insecta; Orthoptera; Gryllidae.
UAUUAUAUUUAAUAUAAUAAAUUUUGCUGGGGUAGUAUAUAUAAUUGUUGAAACCCAAAGAAUUUGGCGGUGUUUUAGUCUUUUCAGAGGAAUCUGUCCUGUAAUUGAUAAUACACGAUUAAUUUUACUUAAUUUUGUUAUCAGUUUAUAUACCGCCGUCAUAAGAUUAUUUUUAUUUAAGAAUUGAAAUUUUCUUGCUUUUUGAUUAAAUGAUAUGUCAGGUCAAGGUGUAGCUUAUAGUUAAGUAGUGAUGGAUUACAAUAAUUUAAAUUAUUAUGGAUAAUGAUUUUAAAUUUGAUUUGAAGGUGGAUUUGAUUGUAAAUUUAUUUUUAAUUUUUAUGUUGAUUUGAGCUCUAGAAUGUGUACAUAUCGCCCGUCGCUCUCGUUANUUAAGGUGAG